This 305-nucleotide unclassified non-coding RNA is filed under the name plant metagenome. RNAcentral describes it as "partial contains 5.8S ribosomal RNA, internal transcribed spacer 2, and large subunit ribosomal RNA". The stretch from base 1 to 105 matches the Rfam family "5.8S ribosomal RNA", at positions 50 to 154 of the family's 154-position model. The record is from RNAcentral.
GAAAUGCGAUAAGUAGUGUGAAUUGCAGAAUUCAGUGAAUCAUCGAAUCUUUGAACGCACAUUGCGCCCCUUGGUAUUCCAUGGGGCAUGCCUGUUCGAGCGUCAUCUACACCCUCAAGCUCUGCUUGGUGUUGGGCGUCUGUCCCGCCCCCGCGCGUGGACUCGCCCCAAAUCCAUUGGCAGCGUUCCUUGCCCCCUCUCGCGCAGCACAUUGCGCUUCUCGAGGGCGGCUCCGGGACGCGAUCCAGCAAGAUGACCACCGUCUUUGACCUCGGAUCAGGUAGGGAUACCCGCUGAACUUAAGC